Molecule: ribosomal RNA, 497 nt
Filed under: uncultured bacterium
Lineage: Bacteria
Description: partial 16S ribosomal RNA
Rfam family: Bacterial small subunit ribosomal RNA
Source: RNAcentral
GAUGAACGCUGGCGGCGUGCCUAAUACAUGCAAGUCGAGCGAACAGACGAGGAGCUUGCUCCUCUGACGUUAGCGGCGGACGGGUGAGUAACACGUGGAUAACCUACCUAUAAGACUGGGAUAACUUCGGGAAACCGGAGCUAAUACCGGAUAACAUGUUGAACCGCAUGGUUCAACAGUGAAAGACGGUCUUGCUGUCACUUAUAGAUGGAUCCGCGCCGCAUUAGCUAGUUGGUAAGGUAACGGCCUACCAAGGCGACGAUGCGUAGCCGACCUGAGAGGAUGAUGAGCCACACUGGAACUGAGACACGGUCCAGACUCCUACGGGAGGCAGCAGUGGGGAAGAUUGGACAAUGGGCGAAAGCCGGAUCCAGCCAUACCGCGUGGUUGAAGAAGGCAUUAGGGUUGUAAAGCCCUUUUGUUGGGAAAGAAAAGCAGCAGGUUAAUCACCCGCUGUUCUGACGGUACCCAAAGAAUAAGCACCGGCUAACUUCGUG